GUUUGCACUUAUCGGGGAAGGGUGAGAACCUUCGAUUAAGGUUCGACUCGAGCGAAAGCGAGAGAACGUUGCCAACGGCAACGGCCCGUAGG
Molecule: small RNA, 92 nt
Filed under: Salmonella enterica
Lineage: Bacteria; Pseudomonadati; Pseudomonadota; Gammaproteobacteria; Enterobacterales; Enterobacteriaceae
Also listed under: 2 other names
Description: partial RtT sRNA
Rfam family: RtT RNA
About the family: This family represents a bacterial cis-regulatory element known as RtT RNA. The exact function of RtT is unknown although it is thought that it may be involved in changing the cellular response in relation to amino acid starvation.
Source: RNAcentral